Long non-coding RNA from Stylophora pistillata, 161 nucleotides. The record is from RefSeq and is a predicted model, not a curated record. Lineage: Eukaryota; Metazoa; Cnidaria; Anthozoa; Scleractinia; Pocilloporidae.
AUUCGCGACACGGCACCAGAGGGUGUGAGGGUAAAUUAUACAGCCUUCUGUCCUGAUGGAGUACAAAUUGGAUCAAGGACUUGCGCUAAUGUUCAGAUUGGACAAAAGGUGUCAUUUGAGGUCUCGGUCACCAUUGAAGAUUGUAAUCUUAAGGAAAAGAG